AUCAACUUUGUUUUGUUUUGUAUUAUUUUGGUGUUUGAGUUUAUGGUUCCUCUCAUAUAGGGUGUUACUACGCCGCUGUGUCCACCCUCACCUUGAGUUUCAGCAGAGACUACUGAUCUAUCUCUCCACAACCCUUUGUUACAAAGGGAACAAUAUCUUCAAUUCAUCAGUAUGUUUAGUUCAUCAGGCAUGGCAGAUGGAUCUGGUAUGUUCAAGGUUCAUCAAACAAUUGGCAGUGUUUUGUGUUGCAAGUGUGGAAUUCCAAUGCAGCCAAAUGCUGCUAAUAUGUGUGUUAAGUGUUUGAGCUCGGAAGUUGACAUUACCGAAGGGUUACUGAAGCGGCUGGUGCUGGUGCAUUGCCCUGAGUGUGAGAGUUACUUGCAGCCACCUAGAAGUUGGGUCAAGCUACAGCUAGAAUCAAAGGAGCUUCUGACAUUUUGCUUGAAGAAAUUGCAGAAAAAUUUUAAUUCUAGUAAAGUGAGGUUGGUACAUGCCGAGUUUAUUUGGACUGAACCCCAUUCCAGGAGGAUAAAGGUGAAGGUCAAGGUUCAGAAAGAGGUUAUCAAUGGAGCAAUUCUUGAACAGUCUUAUACCGUGGAGUAUGUUCAACAAGAGCAUAUGUGUGAAUCCUGUUCUAGGGUUCAGGCCAAUCCUGAUCAGUGGGUUGCUGCUGUGCAACUUAGACAACAUGUUUCUCAUAGGCGUACUUUCUUUUAUCUAGAGCAGCUAAUUCUGAAGCAUGGUGCUGCUGCCAGUGCCAUAAGAAUCAAACAGAUGGAACAAGGUAUUGAUUUCUUCUUCUCCAAUCGAAGUCAUGCAGUUAAAUUUGUGGAGUUUGUUGGGAAAGUUGCUCCUGUAAGAAGCCGCAGUGAUAAGCAGCUAGUUUCCCAUGAUCCAAAGAGCAAUAACUACAACUACAAGUAUACAUUUUCUGUUGAAAUCAGCUCCAUUUGCCGUGAGGAUUUAAUCUGUCUGCCUCCAAAAGUUGCUGUUAGUUUGGGAAAUAUUGGUCCUAUUGUGAUUUGCACCAAGGUUACCAACAGCAUUGCUCUGCUUGAUCCAUUUACCCUGAGGCACUGUUUCUUAGAUGCUGAUCAAUAUUGGAGAACAUCCUUCAAGUCAUUGCUUACUAGCAGACAGUUAGUGGAAUAUAUAGUGCUUGAUGUUGAGGUUGUUUCACCGGAGGUUACUAUUGGUGGCACAAAAUAUUGUUUAGCAGAUGCUCAAGUUGCUCGUGUGUCAGAUUUUGGCAAGAACGACACAAUAUUUAACAUCAAGACUCAUCUGGGUCAUCUUUUGAAUCCUGGGGAUUAUGCUCUUGGUUAUGAUCUUUAUGGGGCUAAUAGUAAUGACAUGGAGUUGGACAAGUACAAAGGGCACAUUCCUGAAGCAAUUUUAGUAAAGAAGAGUUAUGAAGAGAAGCGCCAAAAGAAACGUGGGAAGCCUCGAUCAUGGAAGCUUAAAUCACUUGAAAUGGAGGUUGAUGAUAAUAGGAGACUUGAUCAAGAUAAAAUGGUCUCAGAAUAUGAACAAUUCUUGAAAGAUUUGGAAGAAAACCCUGAUAUGAGGUUCAACAUAUCAUUGUAUCGAAACAAGGAGUACCAGCCAUCAGAAAUGGCAUCCGUGACUGAUGGCGAUGAGCUACCUUCUGUUCCAUUGGAUGAAUUAUUGGCUGAUCUUGAUCUGAGUGAAGAUGAAGAUGGAGAAGACAACAUGGCAGAAUGAACGAAAGCUUUUUCUUAUCUUGAUAUAGUACUUACUUUCUGGAAUCUUUGGUUUUGUUCUUGUAGUGUAUUUGUUUUUUCUUCUCCCAUUUAUGUUUUGUUAAUUUGCAACCCCUGAUGGUUUGUUUAUUGAAAGAAUCAUAAGAUGGUAAUUUUGCAGGCAGUAGUAACAAUACUUACAAAUAGCUUGUUUUAACAUUCUUUUACUA
Vigna unguiculata (cowpea) is the source of this 1933-nucleotide RNA transcript. RefSeq lists it as uncharacterized. Lineage: Eukaryota; Viridiplantae; Streptophyta; Magnoliopsida; Fabales; Fabaceae. The record is from RefSeq and is a predicted model, not a curated record.